CAGUCGCCGCGGUAAUACGAAGGGUGCAAGCGUUAAUCGGAAUUACUGGGCGUAAAGCGUGCGUAGGCGGUGAGUUAAGUCUGCUGUGAAAUCCCCGGGCUCAACCUGGGAAUGGCAGUGGAUACUGGCUCGCUAGAGUGUGUCAGAGGAUGGUGGAAUUCCCGGUGUAGCGGUGAAAUGCGUAGAGAUCGGGAGGAACAUCAGUGGCGAAGGCGGCCAUCUGGGACAACACUGACACUGAGGCACGAAAGCGUGGGGAGCAAACAGGAUUAGAUACCCCAGUAGUCCCUGUCUCUUAUCC
Molecule: ribosomal RNA, 301 nt
Filed under: uncultured bacterium
Lineage: Bacteria
Description: partial 16S ribosomal RNA
Rfam family: Bacterial small subunit ribosomal RNA
Source: RNAcentral